CUAAAUGUGACGUCACAACCGGUGUGCUUUUUGGAAACCGAUACUUUUAUUUUUCGACCUCAGUAGAAGCUAAUCCAUCUGACAUAAAAUAUAAUAGUAUUUUACAAGGUUUCGGCGGAUGAUCAGAAGCGUCGUUGGAUUUUACACGGUGCAACGAGUGAAUGACCCCUUACACACAGUUAUUGAUCUUCAGAACCAUUUCCCAUACAUACAACUAAUCACUAUCCGUAAUAUCAGAUCACUCUCCUUAAUUUCUAAAUCACUCUUAUCGAAACUGGGAGAGCUCUUUUAGGGGAGAGAUUUUUUCAACCCAGGAAUCAGUAUAGUGCAUAGCAAGGUUUUUUCUUCUGAAAGCCUACGUUCUACUUCUAGAAGUCUCACUUCCAUUUUAAUAUCAGGCCUCGUCUAGUUAUGUCACUGUAUCUAACUGAAUAGUUACUUCCGGCCAAAUUAUGGGGAUGGGGGGGGGGGUCCUGUCGUCGGGCCUGCUAUGUUCAUAUCAAAUUCUUACCUUGGGUUUCACGAAGCAACAGAGCGAGCUUUCUUAACUUCGCUUCAAUGCUAUGAGUCUACACUGCAAAAGCAAAAAAUGAUGACAAAGGUAAUAAGUGACUUGGCUUAGCACUGAUUAUUUCUAGCCUUUAUGCUAAUCCUCAAAGUGAAACAAGAUUAGGAGUAGGAACAUUUGUUGCAGGCUAGAUUGUUUUCUGGUUCGUAUCACUGCUUUAAACGAGAUAACUAUGGAAUUUUUCAUCCCGGUUCUUACUUGUCAUGGGUAGGCCUAUCGCCUACAGGAUUGACGAGAAAAGUGUUACCUAGUCUUUUAAAUGGAUCAAGAAACCAGAGGCCACUGGAGUGCAUGUAAAAUAUUUCAACAAUUAUACCACUAUUUUAGUAUUUAUAUACAUAACAAGCCUUACUUUUAGUCUUAGGUCGGGUGUUCGAUCCCUGCAUUGGCCGAGAAAGUUCAUCCAGAUUUUCCGGCGUGGUUCUCCCUUAUCAGUGAUGCAGGACGGAGGGGCUGACAAGGAAAGCUGUCUAGUCGUUCGGAUAGGACGAAAAACCGAGGUCCCGUGUACAUAUUGGCGUCAGGGCUGCCGACAACCAGUAUCGCAGCGCAAUUUGCGAUACAUAUUUUGUCCGUUGCUAACCAAAAAUUAAAAUCUAACGUUUUUGAUUCGCAGUUACUGCGAAUCAUUAAUAUGCCUGUCAUUUUGGAUAUUGACACAAGAAUAAUCCACAUUUUGAAGACUAGAAGGCUUACUCAACACUUUCAACGUGUAUAAAAUGUUGAAUAAAAUUUUAUAAACAAAACUGAAUUCUCCGUGUGACAUUUUCUUCUCGAACUGCCCAGACACAAUACUAUAUAACACAGGGACAUAACUCUAUGAAUAGGGACUAUUAAACCGGAAAUAGGGAAUCAAGUAGUACCACUCACGUUGUGAGACAUCAAGUAAUUAUAUCAUAUUCAUUUUGAAAGAAAUAAAUCCAGUGUAUCUCCCACGUAUUGUAAAUAAAAUAUAAAAAAAAUAAAUACAUGUUAACGUAUUGUAAAAUGAUAAAUCAAAGUAAAAAUUCCCGUAAAAUAUUAUUGUUUAUAUCGCGUGUGUCUAGUUAAUCGAGGUGCGCCCGAUUGAACAAAAAUAAUAAUACACGAUAAAAAGCAGACAAUUGUUUUCUAACGAAGAUUUCUAACGUAACAAAAAAAAUACAAUUAAAAUGAGUGGGGCUUCGGAAGUCACUGUCAAGAAUUGGCUUCAGACAUAAGACCUAACUAAAUGUCUACAUCACAUUCACAAACUGUCACAAGUACUUGUGGCAGUGCUAAAAAAUCUAAGAAUAGUCAGAAUGGAAUCUAAUCAUAUUUCAAUUCGUUAUGAAUUAAAGUAAUAUCUUGUUAUUUAGGUGUUUUACGUUGAAACUGAAAAACUGCUAAUCAAUUUUUAAAUUUGCUAAUCAAAUUUGGCAAAAUUGGACAUUUUGAUUAGCAGUGCUGCUAAUCAACUGUGAAAAAUUACCGACAGCCCUGAUUGGUGUGCACGUAAAAGAUCCCUUGGCAGUUGGAAUUCGAUAUAAGAGUAGCCCAGGUUAGGAGCAGAACAGUAGGACGUUAAACUCCAUUUCAUUUCAUUUCACUUUUAGACUUAACAUAGUUUCUCACAUUUAUAGUCACUAUAUAAACAGUAAUGGUGUAUUUAACAAAUUAUAGCCAUUUAAACAUCAAUAAAAAAAAAUAGACUGAAAAUAGUGAAAAGGUAAAUGGCAAGGGGCCAUUACGUCAGAGCAUGUUUGAAUGCAAAAUAGUUAUGUAACCUAGUGGGUUACUUCCAUAAAACGGGAACAACCGUAUAAUCUGGAUAUGAAUUUAUGCAAGCAGUAACAACAUUAAAAUCGACUAACAACUAAAAAGGAAUGAACAAUAUGGUGUGCAUUCUUUGAUAAUUACAAUAUAUAUCUCUACAAUUUAUGACUUUGUUGUCAAGGUACUAAUCUCUAUUAGUUUUAAGUUCAAUUUGAUGUACAAUAAACAAUUAUAAAAUGUUGCCACUAGUGACUUAAUUUAAAUAGUUAAUUAAAUGGUAAAUAAAAACAAUGAGCCUACUUAAUGCUAUUCAACAACUAUACAAUAAUACUUAUGUUGAUAAAAGAUCAAGAUUAAAACAAUAAAUACAUUUAAUUAUAUUGUAGGAGAUUAGUGUCCCAGUGUGACUAUAGCUGUUAAAAAGUAUAAUAUUGGGUUCUUACAAUUAUUUCUGAAUAAACACUAUAUUAAAAAUUUCCGUCAAGCAUCAUAUUGAAAUGCUUGGUUAUAGUUACAUGCCUUUGGUUUGAAAUUAGUCGCGCUAAACUAAAUCUAAUUUAAUUACUUGCUAGAGGCAACUCAACAGUUGUUUUGAGAACCUUGUAAUUACUACUAGUACUAGUAUUCUAUUCUUGUCUAACAAGCAAGCUUCCGAGAUAUUAAUUGUACUAAACCAAAAUAUGCCGCUCGGUAUAGUUAAAGAUACAUUUUUUAAGAUUUAGAUAGAGCUGACCAUUCUUACUAUAAUAGCUCAAAAAUAGAUAAUGAAAAUAUUGAAAAUUUCAUUCAAAUUACUUUAUUCUGAGCCAAGUUAUCACAGUUUGUAGUUUUGUGCUUUGCAGUAACCAGGGCACUGGUACAUGUAUAUUCGAGACUUAACCUUGCUUUCCCAUUUUUAAAUUAAAUUUUUAAAUGGCGAACCGCUCUAAUCAAGUGAAAAUCUUGACUAUCCGAUGCCGUCGAUAGUUGAUUAUAGUCUUGUUUUGUUAAUAAAUGUCUAAUUAAUAGUUUAUAUAACAUUUCAGGCCUAAAGAAAUACUUGCAAUAGGCAGAUUUAGCUCUUGCAUAAUGUAUGUUUAAUUAUAAAGCAAAUUAAAAAACUAAAAAAAGAAAUGUAAUUUUCUAAAGUUCCUGUAACAACCAAAAAACCAAAUUUUACUGUUAUUUAGCAUCAUUAACAAUAGAUUUUUUACAAUAAUUAUAAUGUUGCUUUCAAAUCUUGCCAUGAAAGGUGAGUUAUCAAUCGCUUAAGUCAUUUUUAUGUAUAGCAAUGUUUGUUGCUCCUAUAUUCGACAUAAUGUUAUCCCCACGUGAAUUACAUACACUUUGUACUAUUAAAGUUCUAGUAGUACUCAGUAUAGUUUAUUAUAGUGAUAUGGUGUAAUAAAACUGUUAUUACUACAACAGAAAUAGAAUAGUAAUAAUUUCUCUCAAACCAUAAUUAAACUCAAUCCAUCAGUCACUUUAAAUAGUUCCUGGACGCUGGAACUAAAUUUAUAUUUAUAUCUUAUUGUUUUUCAAAUUGAACUUUUCAGUCCUACGCUAAAGAAACCUCCAAAGCCCCUCCAACUGAGGAAGCAAAGAUCCACAGAA
Molecule: long non-coding RNA, 3895 nt
Organism: Patella vulgata (common limpet)
Lineage: Eukaryota; Metazoa; Mollusca; Gastropoda; Patellidae
Exons: 2
Source: RefSeq, a predicted model, not a curated record